Molecule: ribosomal RNA, 497 nt
Filed under: uncultured bacterium
Lineage: Bacteria
Description: partial 16S ribosomal RNA
Rfam family: Bacterial small subunit ribosomal RNA
Source: RNAcentral
GAUGAACGCUGGCGGCGUGCCUAAUACAUGCAAGUCGAGCGAACGGACGAGAAGCUUGCUUCUCUGAUGUUAGCGGCGGACGGGUGAGUAACACGUGGAUAACCUACCUAUAAGACUGGGAUAACUUCAGGAAACCGGAGCUAAUACCGGAUGAUAUUUUGAACCGCAUGGUUCAAAAGUGAAAGACGGUCUUGCUGUCACUUAUAGAUGGAUCCGCGCUGCAUUAGCUAGUUGGUAAGGUAACGGCUUACCAAGGCAACGAUGCAUAGCCGACCUGAGAGGGUGAUCGGCCACACUGGAACUGAGACACGGUCCAGACUCCUACGGGAGGCAGCAGUAGGGAAUCUUCCGCAAUGGGCGAAAGCCUGACGGGGCAACGCCGCGUGAGUGAUGAAGGUCUUCGGAUCGUAAAACUCUGUUAUUAGGGAAGAACAUAUGUGUAAGUAACUGUGCACAUCUUGACGGUACCUAAUCAGAAAGCCACGGCUAACUACGUG